GGCGGUAUAGCCAAGUGGCAAGGCAAAGGCCUGCAAAGCCUUAUCCCUAGUUCGACUCUAGGUACCGCCUCCA
This 73-nucleotide transfer RNA is filed under the name Negativicutes bacterium. RNAcentral describes it as "tRNA-Cys". It matches the Rfam family "tRNA". From Rfam's summary of the family: Transfer RNA (tRNA) molecules are approximately 80 nucleotides in length. Their secondary structure includes four short double-helical elements and three loops (D, anti-codon, and T loops). Further hydrogen bonds mediate the characteristic L-shaped molecular structure. tRNAs have two regions of fundamental functional importance: the anti-codon, which is responsible for specific mRNA codon recognition, and the 3' end, to which the tRNAs corresponding amino acid is attached (by aminoacyl-tRNA synthetases). tRNAs cope with the degeneracy of the genetic code in two manners: having more than one tRNA (with a specific anti-codon) for a particular amino acid; and 'wobble' base-pairing, i.e. permitting non-standard base-pairing at the 3rd anti-codon position. The record is from RNAcentral. Lineage: Bacteria; Bacillati; Bacillota; Negativicutes.